This 2167-nucleotide long non-coding RNA is filed under the name Sus scrofa (pig). RNAcentral's name for it is "lncRNA (ENSSSCG00000048474.1)". Lineage: Eukaryota; Metazoa; Chordata; Mammalia; Artiodactyla; Suidae. The record is from RNAcentral.
UGGGACACACUGAACUUAGAUGAAACAAUUGCCACAACAUAAAAUUGGCAAUAGCUCAAACUGCAUAUGCCAAUCUCUGUUAUUGAACCAAAAAAGAAAAAAAAAAAGGGAUGGAAUAAUCAAAGUUUCUUGUUAAAAUGAGAUCUGCAUUUUGCUGUGAGAAACUGGGAUUUGACAGCAACAAUAACCACAAAAUAAAAUUCAUAGUGACAGAAGCUAUAAUUAAUAAAAUAGGAUAUAAUGGAAUGAAUCAGUGAAUCAAAUCUACAUAUGAUUGAUGUUUUCAUUGAGAAGAACAUAAAAGUGAAAAUAGGGAAAUUAAGCACCAUUUACCUAUAGUGCAAUAAUGAUUUAAAUAUCUGCAUCCAUAAGUAUGUCCUUGGGGUAGGUAGGGUCAGAACAUCUGAGGAAUCAAAGGGCAACACCUGAAGGGUCAAAAAAGAAUCCCACUUAGCUCAGCAUAGUGGUUUGUAUGAAAUAUUUGAUAGCACAUAUCUCUAGAAGCUAAGACAAUCCUGGCUUGCAUGCACCAUUUUACCUCCUCACGAGAUAGAUGGUCAUGCAGCUCUUAAUUUAAUUACCUUUUGCUAGAAAGGAUGACCUGUCUUUUCUGAAAGUAUCAAGGUCUUUUUCAGUGCUGUGAGUACCAAGAGGACAGAAUGUGAACACAACGUGAACACAGGCCCUGCUGUGUGCUCCAAUUCCCAGAGUGUGUUGGCCAAGCCAUGCCUCCUGGGCCCUUGGCUCUAGGAUCCAAAGGAAGUAGCGUCAACAACUGGUGCUAAAAAUUACCUGAAUCUCAUAAAUACACAAUUGGCCCAUAAAACUUUCUUCCAGAAAACACCUCUUUUGAAUGUCCUUUUGUGACUCUAAGUAGUCAUGUGCCAUUCAUUGACUAAAUAGUAUGCCGGAUGCUUAGAUAUGAUUCAUGCCUCCCAAGAAAGCAAGACAUGGUCAUUCACUCAAAUAGAGUACAUUGUGCUAAGUUUAAUAAUAGACUCUACCUAGUAUGCAGAGGCUGUGGUAAUCAGCUUUUCCAGGUACUUGUCAGAAGCGGUGAUAUUUCAGCAAAAUUGCCAAAAGGAUAAAUGCAUCCGGUUGGAUGACUAGCAUGGACAGCAUGAGGGAAGGGGCUUCAGGCUGAGGGGUGGUGGCAGAUGGAGACCAAGGUGUGGAGAUGAGAGCUUGCAGGAAUUAUGGUGGUGACCAUGGCCUCUUCUUCCCAGAUCACAGUGAGAUCAUAUGACCCCAUCCAGCCCCGAGGCCCAGGCAUGAGUGCUCUCCCCAGCUGGGGACCCACUGCUUCCCUUAGGGCUGAUGGGUGUUCUGAGAUGUUGCAGAGCUCUCUUAAUAGAUUCUGAGGGUUGUGAGUGACUCGGGGUUUGACCUUGAGGAAUAGGUGGUCAUAGAUCACAUUCACUUCAUGACCGUCAGAUAGCUUGACAGCUGGUAGUAACGAAUUGAGGCUCAGGAAGGCAUGGCCUUCACUCGGACCUCAGGCUGGUGGUCUUCAAUUUGCGGUAUAUACCUCGGUGGAGGUAUGUGCUUUUCAAGAAGUGUGCAGGCAGGGAUAGUUCUAGAGGAGUCAGUGCUAGCACCGCAAUUUCUAUAUAUGCGUUUAGCUAGCAUUGAUCUUUCCAGCUGCUUUUCUGCUGGCAAAGACUCUCCUCCCUUUCCUAUCUCUCCUAUCAUAACCUCCUUCCCCUGCCCACCCCCUUGUCUUUUGAGGACCACACCCAUGGCAUGUGGAAGUUCCCAGGCUAAGAGUCAAAUCAGAGAUGUAGCUGCUGGUCUACACCACAGCCACAGCACCGUGGGAUCCAAUCUGUGUCUGAGACUUAUACCACAGCUCACGAAAAUGCCAGACCCUUAACCCACUGAGUGAGGCCAGGGAUCAAACUUGCAUCCUCAUGGAUACUAGUCAGAUUGUUACCAAAGAGCCACCAUGGGAACUCCCCCUGCCCUCUUUUAAACACUUAUUCCUUUAUGGUUUCAGGAAACCAAAUCAACUAAAAAAUUACACACACACACACACACACACACACACACACACUUGACAUUAUUUGGUGGUCAAUAAAGGACUCGGUGUAGCAUAAUAAUUUAAUACAUUGGGAUAAAAUUCUGAGAGAGAGAUGAAAUAGAAACAAACAGGAGUUUAAGAAGAUUU